RNAcentral lists this ribosomal RNA (442 nucleotides) under uncultured bacterium. RNAcentral describes it as "bacterial SSU rRNA". It matches the Rfam family "Bacterial small subunit ribosomal RNA", at positions 338 to 795 of the family's 1533-position model. The record is from RNAcentral.
CCUANGGGGGGCAGCAGUGGGGAAUCUUGCGCAAUGGGCGAAAGCCUGACGCAGCAACGCCGCGUGCGGGAUGAAGGCCUUCGGGUUGUAAACCGCUUUCAGUGGGGACGAACCAAGACGGUACCCACAGAAGAAGCCCCGGCCAACUACGUGCCAGCAGCCGCGGUAACACGUAGGGGGCAAGCGUUGUCCGGAUUCAUUGGGCGUAAAGAGCUCGUAGGCGGUUCGAUAAGUCGGGUGUGAAACCUCCAGGCUCAACCUGGAGACGCCACCCGAUACUGUUGUGACUAGAGUCCAGUAGGGGAGCGUGGAAUUCCUGGUGUAGCGGUGAAAUGCGCAGAUAUCAGGAGGAACACCAGCGGCGAAGGCGGCGCUCUGGGCUGGAACUGACGCUGAGGAGCGAAAGCGUGGGGAGCGAACAGGAUUAGAUACCCUUNUANUC